This 48-nucleotide non-coding RNA is filed under the name Schistosoma bovis. The record is from RNAcentral. Lineage: Eukaryota; Metazoa; Platyhelminthes; Trematoda; Strigeidida; Schistosomatidae. RNAcentral also lists the same sequence under 1 other name.
AUCAAGCUGACAAGUUCCAAAUAGGACGAAACGCGCGUCAAAUCGGAU